CUGCUGCCUCCCGUAGGAGUUUGGGCCGUGUCUCAGUCCCAAUGUGGCCGGCCACCCUCUCAGGUCGGCUACUGAUCGUCGCCUUGGUGGGCCGUUACCCCGCCAACCAGCUAAUCAGACGCGGAUCCAUCUCAUACCGCCGGAGCUUUUCACCCGGAAGCAUGCGCUCCCGUGUGCUUAUGCGGUAUUAGCAGUCAUUUCUAACUGUUAUCCCCCUGUAUGAGGCAGGUUAUCCACGCGUUACUCACCGUCCCG
This 255-nucleotide ribosomal RNA is filed under the name uncultured bacterium. RNAcentral's name for it is "partial 16S ribosomal RNA". The record is from RNAcentral.